GCAUUGGUGGUUUAGUGGUAGAAUUCUCGCCUCCCACGCAGGGUACCCAGCUUUGAUUCCUGGCCAAUGCC
RNAcentral lists this transfer RNA (71 nucleotides) under Danio rerio (zebrafish). It matches the Rfam family "tRNA". Rfam says of the family: Transfer RNA (tRNA) molecules are approximately 80 nucleotides in length. Their secondary structure includes four short double-helical elements and three loops (D, anti-codon, and T loops). Further hydrogen bonds mediate the characteristic L-shaped molecular structure. tRNAs have two regions of fundamental functional importance: the anti-codon, which is responsible for specific mRNA codon recognition, and the 3' end, to which the tRNAs corresponding amino acid is attached (by aminoacyl-tRNA synthetases). tRNAs cope with the degeneracy of the genetic code in two manners: having more than one tRNA (with a specific anti-codon) for a particular amino acid; and 'wobble' base-pairing, i.e. permitting non-standard base-pairing at the 3rd anti-codon position. The record is from Rfam by way of RNAcentral. Lineage: Eukaryota; Metazoa; Chordata; Actinopteri; Cypriniformes; Danionidae.